AACAUGUCAAGUCGAGCGGUAACAGGGGUAGCUUGCUACCCGCUGACGAGCGGCGGACGGGUGAGUAAUGCAUAGGAAUUUACCCGAUAGUGGGGGAUAACCUGGGGAAACCCAGGCUAAUACCGCAUACGUCCUACGGGAGAAAGGGGGCUUUGGCUCCCGCUAUCGGAUGAGCCUAUGCCGGAUUAGCUGGUUGGUGAGGUAAUGGCUCACCAAGGCGACGAUCCGUAGCUGGUCUGAGAGGAUGAUCAGCCACAUCGGGACUGAGACACGACCCGAACUCCUACGGGAGGCAGCAGUGGGGAAUAUUGGACAAUGGGCGCAAGCCUGAUCCAGCCAUGCCGCGUGUGUGAAGAAGGCCCUCGGGUUGUAAAGCACUUUCAGCGAGGAAGAACGCCUGGCGGUUAAUACCCGCCAGGAAAGACAUCACUCGCAGAAGAAGCACCGGCUAACUCCGUGCCAGCAGCCGCGGUAAUACGGAGGGUGCAAGCGUUAAUCGGAAUUACUGGGCGUAAAGCGCGCGUAGGUGGCUUGAUAAGCCGGUUGUGAAAGCCCCGGGCUCAACCUGGGAACGGCAUCCGGAACUGUCAGGCUAGAGUGCAGGAGAGGAGGGUAGAAUUCCCGGUGUAGCGGUGAAAUGCGUAGAGAUCGGGAGGAAUACCAGUGGCGAAGGCGGCCUUCUGGACUGACACUGACACUGAGGUGCGAAAGCGUGGGUAGCAAACAGGAUUAGAUACCCUGGUAGUCCACGCCGUAAACGAUGUCGACCAGCCGUUGGGU
RNAcentral lists this ribosomal RNA (780 nucleotides) under uncultured bacterium. RNAcentral describes it as "bacterial SSU rRNA". It matches the Rfam family "Bacterial small subunit ribosomal RNA", at positions 52 to 828 of the family's 1533-position model. The record is from RNAcentral.